GAUGAACGCUGGCGGCGUGCCUAAUACAUGCAAGUCGAGCGAACGGACGAGAAGCUUGCUUCUCUGAUGUUAGCGGCGGACGGGUGAGUAACACGUGGAUAACCUACCUAUAAGACUAGGAUAACUUCGGGAAACCGGAGCUAAUACCGGAUGAUAUUUUGAACCGCAUGGUUCAAAAGUGAAAGACGGUCUUGCUGUCACUUAUAGAUGGAUCCGCGCUGCAUUAGCUAGUUGGUAAGGUAACGGCUUACCAAGGCAACGACGCAUAGCCGACCUGAGAGGGUGAUCGGCCACACUGGAACUGAGACACGGUCCAGACUCCUACGGGAGGCAGCAGUAGGGAAUCUUCCGCAAUGGGCGAAAGCCUGACGGAGCAACGCCGCGUGAGUGAUGAAGGUCUUCGGAUCGUAAAACUCUGUUAUUAGGGAAGAACAUAUGUGUAAGUAACUGUGCACAUCUUGACGGUACCUAAUCAGAAAGCCACGGCUAACUACGUG
Molecule: ribosomal RNA, 497 nt
Filed under: uncultured bacterium
Lineage: Bacteria
Description: partial 16S ribosomal RNA
Rfam family: Bacterial small subunit ribosomal RNA
Source: RNAcentral